RNAcentral lists this long non-coding RNA (393 nucleotides) under Erythranthe guttata (spotted monkey flower). RNAcentral describes it as "long non-coding RNA (EGUT_LNC001463)". The record is from RNAcentral. Lineage: Eukaryota; Viridiplantae; Streptophyta; Magnoliopsida; Lamiales; Phrymaceae.
ACCUUUUUCCCAUAACCACUCCCCACCGUAAUCGGAUCCACCACCACCCUAACAGCCUCCAUACCGACCGACUCCAUAGCCGCCUCGCCAGUCCGUCUUCCACGAUAGUCGCCUUCAUACCCAUCGUCACUAUAGUCGCUGCUAGGUCCACAAACCAUCAUAGCAGUUUUCAUAUCCAAGCCCCACAACCAGAGAUCUGUCUCAACCAGUCCAGCAAUACCCACCAUAGCCACCAUACCCGUCGUUGCCACUAUACCCGCCUCCAUAAGCAACCUACCAUACCCUCCACCGCCACCUAUCACUCAAAUCUGAAAAAAGAAAAAAAGAAAUAGAGAAAAGGGGAAGAUAGAGAAAACAACCCACCGGCCACCAUACCCUCGGCCAUAGCCGUCA